This is a small nucleolar RNA of Monoraphidium neglectum, 87 nucleotides long. It matches the Rfam family "Small nucleolar RNA snoR8a". The record is from Rfam. Lineage: Eukaryota; Viridiplantae; Chlorophyta; Chlorophyceae; Sphaeropleales; Selenastraceae.
GGUGGUGCAGUGACGUUAAACAUUCCUCGUCCUGAGACGCCCUUGCGGUGCUGGAUGACACUCUUACACCCAUAGAAUCUGAGCACU